GACGAACGCUGGCGGCGUGCCUAACACAUGCAAGUCGAGCGAGGAGAGUCCUUCGGGAACAAACCUAGCGGCGGACGGGUGAGUAACACGUGGGCAACCUGCCUUGUAGAGGGGAAUAGCCUUCCGAAAAGGAAAGAUUAAUACCGCAUAACAUUACAGUUUCGCAUGAAACAGUAAUUAAAGGAGUAAAUCCGCUACAAGAUGGGCCCGCGGCGCAUUAGCUAGUUGGUGAGGUAACGGCUCACCAAGGCGACGAUGCGUAGCCGACCUGAGAGGGUGAUCGGCCACAUUGGGACUGAGACACGGCCCAGACCCCUACGGGAGGCAGCAGUGGGGAAUAUUGCACAAUGGGGGAAACCCUGAUGCAGCAACGCCGCGUGAGUGAUGAAGGUUUUCGGAUCGUAAAGCUCUGUCUUCGGGGACGAUAAUGACGGUACCCGAGGAGGAAGCCACGGCUAACUACGUG
Molecule: ribosomal RNA, 466 nt
Filed under: uncultured bacterium
Lineage: Bacteria
Description: bacterial SSU rRNA
Rfam family: Bacterial small subunit ribosomal RNA
Source: RNAcentral